RNAcentral lists this ribosomal RNA (497 nucleotides) under uncultured bacterium. RNAcentral's name for it is "partial 16S ribosomal RNA". It matches the Rfam family "Bacterial small subunit ribosomal RNA", at positions 28 to 507 of the family's 1533-position model. The record is from RNAcentral.
GAUGAACGUUGGCGGCGUGCCUAAUACAUGCAAGUCGAGCGAACAGAUGAGGAGCUUGCUCCUCUGACGUUAGCGGCGGACGGGUGAGUAACACGUGGAUAACCUACCUAUAAGACUGGGAUAACUUCGGGAAACCGGAGCUAAUACCGGAUAAUAUAUUGAACCGCAUGGUUCAAUAGUGAAAGACGGUUUUGCUGUCACUUAUAGAUGGAUCCGCGCCGCAUUAGCUAGUUGGUAAGGUAACGGCUUACCAAGGCAACGAUGCGUAGCCGACCUGAGAGGGUGAUCGGCCACACUGGAACUGAGACACGGUCCAGACUCCUACGGGAGGCAGCAGUAGGGAAUCUUCCGCAAUGGGCGAAAGCCUGACGGAGCAACGCCGCGUGAGUGAUGAAGGUCUUCGGAUCGUAAAACUCUGUUAUUAGGGAAGAACAAAUGUGUAAGUAACUAUGCACGUCUUGACGGUACCUAAUCAGAAAGCCAUGGCUAACUACGUG